AACGGUAGAACUGCCUUUGAUACUGGCAAACUUGAGUUAUUGUGAAGUAGUUAGAAUGUGUAGUGUAGCGGUGAAAUGCAUAGAUAUUACACAGAAUACCGAUUGCGAAAGCAGAUUACUAACAAUAUACUGACGCUGAGGGACGAAAGCGUGGGUAGCGAACAGGAUUAGAUACCCUGGUAGUCCACGCCGUAAACGGUGGUCACUAGCUGUUUGAUGUACAUUGGUACAUUGAGUGGCUAAGCGAAAGUGAUAAGUGACCCACCUGGGGAGUACGCUCGCAAGAGUGAAACCCAAAGGAAUUGACGGGGGCCCGCACAAGCGGUGGAGCAUGUGGUUUAAUUCGAUGAUACGCGAGGAACCUUACCAGGACUUAAAUGUAAGUUGCAUGAUUCAGAAAUGGAUCUUUCUUCGGACUACUUACAAGGUGCUGCAUGGUUGUCGUCAGCUCGUGCCGUGAGGUGUCAGGUUAAGUCCUAUAACGAGCGCAACCCCUAUCGUUAGUUGCCAUCAAGUAAAGUUGGGAACUCUAGCGAAACUGCCGGUGCAAACCGUGAGGAAGGUGGGGAUGACGUCAAAUCAUCACGGCCCUUACGUUCUGGGCUACACACGUGCUACAAUGGCCGGUACAGAAAGCAGCCACUAUGCGAAUAGGAGCUAAUCUUCAAAGCCGGUCUCAGUUCGGAUCGCAGUCUGCAACUCGACUGCGUGAAGCUGGAAUCGCUAGUAAUCGGAUAUCAGCCAUGAUCCGGUGAAUACGUUCCCGGGCCUUGUACACACCGCCCGUCAAGCCAUGGAAGCUGGGGGUACCUAAAGUCGGUGACCGAAAGGAGCCGCCUAGGGUAAAACUAGUAACUGGGGCUAAGUCGUAACAAGGUAACCGUA
This 885-nucleotide ribosomal RNA is filed under the name uncultured bacterium. RNAcentral's name for it is "bacterial SSU rRNA". It matches the Rfam family "Bacterial small subunit ribosomal RNA", at positions 611 to 1504 of the family's 1533-position model. The record is from RNAcentral.